RNAcentral lists this ribosomal RNA (253 nucleotides) under uncultured bacterium. Its description in RNAcentral is "partial 16S ribosomal RNA". It matches the Rfam family "Bacterial small subunit ribosomal RNA", at positions 524 to 776 of the family's 1533-position model. The record is from RNAcentral.
UACGUAGGGGGCGAGCGUUGUCCGGAAUUACUGGGCGUAAAGGGCGCGUAGGCGGCCUGCUAAGUCGAACGUGAAAUCCCUGGGCUCAACCCAGGAACUGCGUCCGAUACUGGUUGGCUUGAAUCCGGGAGAGGGAUGUGGAAUUCCAGGUGUAGCGGUGAAAUGCGUAGAUAUCUGGAGGAACACCGGUGGCGAAGGCGACAUCCUGGACCGGUAUUGACGCUGAGGCGCGAAAGCCAGGGGAGCAAACGGG